RNAcentral lists this transfer RNA (73 nucleotides) under Schistocerca americana (American grasshopper). RNAcentral's name for it is "tRNA-Val". It matches the Rfam family "tRNA". From Rfam's summary of the family: Transfer RNA (tRNA) molecules are approximately 80 nucleotides in length. Their secondary structure includes four short double-helical elements and three loops (D, anti-codon, and T loops). Further hydrogen bonds mediate the characteristic L-shaped molecular structure. tRNAs have two regions of fundamental functional importance: the anti-codon, which is responsible for specific mRNA codon recognition, and the 3' end, to which the tRNAs corresponding amino acid is attached (by aminoacyl-tRNA synthetases). tRNAs cope with the degeneracy of the genetic code in two manners: having more than one tRNA (with a specific anti-codon) for a particular amino acid; and 'wobble' base-pairing, i.e. permitting non-standard base-pairing at the 3rd anti-codon position. The record is from RNAcentral. Lineage: Eukaryota; Metazoa; Arthropoda; Insecta; Orthoptera; Acrididae.
GUUUCCGUAGUGUAGCGGUUAUCACGUCUGCUUCACACGCAGAAGACCCCCGGUUCGAUCCCGGGCGGGAACA